GGGACCUACGGGGGGCAGCAGUAGGGAAUUUUCGUCAAUGGGCGCAAGCCUGAACGAGCGAUGCCGCGUGAGUGAAGAAGGCCUUCGGGUCGUAAAGCUCUGUUGCGGGGGAAAAAAGGCAGCAUCAGGAAAUGGGUGCUGACUGAUGGUGCCCCGCCAGAAAGUCACGGCUAACUACGUGCCAGCAGCCGCGGUAAUACGUAGGUGGCGAGCGUUAUCCGGAAUGAUUGGGCGUAAAGGGUGCGUAGGCGGCCUGCUAAGUCUGGAGUGAAAGGUACCGGCUCAACCGGUACAGGCUCUGGAAA
This 305-nucleotide ribosomal RNA is filed under the name uncultured bacterium. RNAcentral's name for it is "bacterial SSU rRNA". It matches the Rfam family "Bacterial small subunit ribosomal RNA", at positions 332 to 632 of the family's 1533-position model. The record is from RNAcentral.